This 261-nucleotide long non-coding RNA is filed under the name Brassica napus (rape). RNAcentral's name for it is "long non-coding RNA (BNAP_LNC010242)". Lineage: Eukaryota; Viridiplantae; Streptophyta; Magnoliopsida; Brassicales; Brassicaceae. The record is from RNAcentral.
CCGAGGUAACGCGUGGAGAGAGAGAUAGAGAAUUGCCACCGUCGAGGAGAGCCGUCGGGGAGAGCCGUCGAGACACCGAGAGAGACGCCUCGAUUCUUCCCCGAGGAGAGAUGCAGAAUCAGACACCGAGAGGUGGAGGAGGGCAAGAGAGACGCGGAGAUGUCGAUCUAAACGAGAUCCUCCAACACAGACGCCGAACCCAUCGUUGCGACUUCGAGAAAGACCAGUGGAUUCAACGAGGAGAGGUUGAGCGACGCCGAG